UUACAAGCUUAAAUGGAAUUGAUGGCAGAGCCAAGUGAAAUCUGUUUUUAUUCAAUUAAGCUCCCUGCAGAAAUGGCUCAGUGGUCACCCAAAAGCAUCUCGCAAUCAAACAAUGAGAAGGGGAUGCCCCUGGUACCUACACAUACAGGAUUUUGGUUCUUCCAUGGUUAUAUAUAGAUCUCACCUCUUCUCAGACACAGGGGGCUGAUACAAAGAAGACAAACUGGUCCUUGAUCGAUCUCUGAUGGAUUUAAACUGAGAUAUUUGAUGAGCAAAUAUAUUUCAAGGAAACAUGAGGGGAGAACAGGAAAAGGGAGAUAAGAAGAAAUGAAGGAGGGAUCAAGAGGAGGAAAACAAUUUGUCAGCACAAUCUUUUAAAAACAGGUUUAUUUAUAAGGAUUUUCUUGUAUACAGAGGAAAACAACAAUACCCAAUGACAUUGCAGUUAUUAACUCAAGAAGCCUCCAGCGGAUUUGAACAUUUUAGCACAUCCUCUGCGUGCAUUUCAUUCCAUUUCUGAAUCAGGUCAAAAGUGCGGUAAUAUAAAUGACACAUUUGUAAUUGAAUAAAGAGUACAUCAAUAGCAGUCAUACAGUAAAUU
Molecule: long non-coding RNA, 601 nt
Organism: Pseudophryne corroboree (corroboree frog)
Lineage: Eukaryota; Metazoa; Chordata; Amphibia; Anura; Myobatrachidae
Exons: 3
Source: RefSeq, a predicted model, not a curated record